UUUGAUGAUAAUCUUUUCAUUUUAAAUAAUGUGGAAUUUUUUCCCCUUUGUUCAAAAAGGGCACUACAAAGGGAUUAAGUCCAUCCCGCUUGCCUUUCCAUUGAUCAUCUUUCUGAACCCUUGUGCUGUCCUGGUGGGUUUCCAAACUUUGAAGCCGCCUCUGCGUGUCUCAUUAUUGUCACCGGGCAUUUGAAAUUUUAUUCCAAGUUCAUUUUAAAGCAAGGCAGUAUGAGAGGUAUUCAGAAAUUAGCCAUGCUGGUGGGAGAUACUUCCUUAGGGGCUUUGUCUCCUCUCCUUCCCCUUGCAACUCCUCCACACAAAUGAAGAGAAGAAUGGGUUCCUUGGGGGUCGGUCCCCCCACUUGCUCCUUGCAUGAAACUCCAAUUACCAUUAAAAGAAGUUAACUUUUACAUAUCCACAGAAGAAUAGAUCAACCCCUAUGAGUGAUAAAAUAGAAUAAUUGUGUUCAAGAAUGAAGAGUGGAAAGUCCUUGAUUUUAUUUACAAAUCAUGAACUUAUUUUAGGAACUAAUUCCUAGAAGCUUGUUUUGUUGGGAUGGUGCAACAUUAGAAAUUUCUUGUUAGUUGGCACUGUAGAUAGCAGACUGAUUUUCUGUCCCAGAAAUAUAAUUCUGAGGGACUGGAAAAGUGCUGCACCUAACUUUUAAACUCUGGAGAGAAAGAUGCAUAUUGAUUGAACACCCAGCCAUCAGACCACUUAAGAAAAGGAGAAGCCCAAAUCAUGUUUAAUAUGCUGGAAUUUUAUUUAUGUAACUUAGUGGGGUCACUAAUGGAAAUUUCCUAGCUUGGAUGAUUUCUGACCUUUAAUUUUGCUCCAAAAGAAAACCAAGGUUGAAAUGCUUUGCUCUUUUCUCUUCUGUCUUCAUCAUUCUACCUGUUGUUUUUAUCCUCUGGUUUGGUAUAGUUUAGAAAGGUAUCUGAGGGAAAGAAGACAUUGAUGGAGAAACUCAUUACUUUCUCUAAAGUAAGCCAUUUGCAGCAAAGCUUAUUCUUCUUGCUACCUCAUUUAUUGCCUUAGCAUGAGGUUUUCAGCUGUUCUCAAGAAAAAGUGAUUCUCAAGUAAUCUGUAUUGCAACCGGAAAUCUUUUUCUUAUUUGUGAUAGUAAAUAUAAAAAUUGUGCUCCAGUGAGGGUGGCAGGGUUCUGUUUUGUUUUAGUAUCUGUGUGUGUGUGUGUGUGUGUGUGUGCAUGCGCUAACAUUUAAAAAUCAAAGCCAAGCAGACCAACCUUUUUAUGUGAGUUGUGUUUAUGUGACCUAAUUUGUGCAGCAGUUAUUUUAUAGCUGAGAAUUUAUACGCUAAAGGUGGUGCUAAUUGUGGUCUUUUAAUAGGUAUAUAAAAGGAAAACAGAAGCUGCCAAAAAAGAAUACCUGAAGGCCCUGGCGGCAUACAGGGCCAGCCUCGUUUCUAAGGCUGCUGCUGAGUCAGCAGAAGCCCAGACCAUCCGUUCUGUUCAGCAGACCCUGGCGUCGACCAAUCUAACAUCCUCUCUCCUUCUCAACACUCCACUGUCUCAACAUGGAACAGUGUCAGCAUCACCUCAGACUCUCCAGCAAUCCCUCCCUAGGUCAAUUGCUCCCAAACCCUUAACCAUGAGACUCCCCAUGAACCAGAUUGUCACAUCAGUCACCAUUGCAGCCAACAUGCCCUCGAACAUUGGGGCUCCACUGAUAAGCUCCAUGGGAACGACCAUGGUUGGCUCAGCACCCUCCACCCAAGUGAGUCCUUCGGUGCAAACCCAGCAGCAUCAGAUGCAAUUGCAGCAGCAGCAGCAGCAGCAGCAACAACAACAGAUGCAACAGAUGCAGCAGCAGCAACUCCAGCAGCACCAAAUGCAUCAGCAAAUCCAGCAGCAGAUGCAGCAGCAGCAUUUCCAGCACCACAUGCAGCAGCACCUGCAGCAGCAGCAGCAGCAUCUCCAGCAGCAAAUUAAUCAACAGCAGCUGCAGCAGCAGCUGCAGCAGCGCCUCCAGCUGCAGCAGCUGCAACACAUGCAGCACCAGUCUCAGCCUUCUCCUCGGCAGCACUCCCCCGUCGCCUCUCAGAUAACAUCCCCCAUCCCUGCCAUCGGGAGCCCCCAGCCAGCCUCUCAGCAGCACCAGUCGCAAAUACAGUCUCAGACACAGACUCAAGUAUUAUCACAGGUCAGUAUUUUCUGAAGACGCAUGUGGCAGAUGGAUUUGCUUAUACCGAGGAGAGUGGCAUAGGAGGGAAAAGCAUAUGUGGCUGAAACCUGUAAGUUGGUGUUGGUUAUGCAGAAAUGUGUAACAGAUCAAACGGUCCUCUCAAGUGUCUAUUAGAUAGGCAAUAAGAACUACAGUGUAGCUGAGUAACAUCUUUUAGCUGACUAUAAAUCACUUUGUUUUUAAACAAGAAAAGCUGUGCUCUUUUAUGUGAUGCCUUUUUUAUUUAUUCAGGCUAUACCUACAAUAUGUGAAUCAAACUGUUCAAUGAAUCCUGGGACAUAUUGAUGACUAUAAACUGGCCUCUCUGAGUCAUAGAAAAAUGGCCUUAUUUCUCCAGAAGUGAGUAAACCACACUUCCAGGCUGUCUGAACUUCUGAAGCCCUAAAAAUAAAAAGCACAGUUGUAACUACCUGAAAUAUGAAGAUCCAGUUUCAUACAAACAUUUGUAUGACGUGAAUAGUUGAUGGCAUUUUUUUGUCAUGAAAAAAAAUAAUGUAAAUCACAGACUUUUGCCAAAGCUCUUAUUUUUUUUUCUAAAUCUCUCCAGAAAGAAAAUGCAAGUGAUUAAAUUCAAUUAUUGACUAAUUUCCACUUUUUAUCCAUGACUUCUCCAAAUCAAACCACAGUAUAUGUUGUAACAAUAUCUAUGACCACUGUUAGCCCAUUAUAUUCAUUCCAAUUAGAAGAAAAGAAAUGUGAAUAUUAUAUUCCGUGUUUUGAGUGACAAGUUUCGAAAAAUAAAAACACUGUAUUUUUAAAAGGGAAAUGCACUUAAAUGAAAACAGUUAUUACAAAAGUUAAGAUUUAAAAAGAAAAAGCAAGAGUUUUUAUUAUGAUGUAAUACCAGUAGAAUAUUUAAAAGGCACACCACAUCUGAAUAAUCAAUGUAAAUAUUUUCUUUCAAAGUUGUAAGUUUUCAUAUCAUGUGCUGUAAAGUUUUCCUAAAUGAGGCUUUAACGUAAACACUGGUGACAUAAACCAUUCAUUGCUACGUUGCUUAUUGUGUUUUUAUGCUGUUUUAUACUUUUUUAUGAGUUAUGAUAGCAGCAAUUAAGUUGUUUGUAUUUUGCUUAACUAAAACAAAAAUGCUUUUAUCUUGCUAUAGAAUAAACACAUUUCAGUAAAAACUGUGGACUGUAUUUUGAUGCAACAACAAGGAAACUGUUCACUUUUCAAAUAAAAUGAUAUGUCAGAUUUC
RNAcentral lists this small RNA (3402 nucleotides) under Pongo abelii (Sumatran orangutan). RNAcentral describes it as "retained intron". The record is from RNAcentral. Lineage: Eukaryota; Metazoa; Chordata; Mammalia; Primates; Hominidae.